GCUUAACACAUGCAAGUCGAGCGCCCAGCAAUGGGAGCGGCAGACGGGAGAGUAACACGUGGGAACGUACCCUUCAGUUCGGAACAACCCAGGGAAACUUGGGCUAAUACCGAAUACGUCCGUAAGGAGAAAGAUUUAUCGCUGAAGGAUCGGCCCGCGUCUGAUUAGCUAGUUGGUGAGGUAACGGCUCACCAAGGCGACGAUCAGUAGCUGGUCUGAGAGGAUGAUCAGCCUCAUUGGGACUGAGACACGGCCCAAACUCCUACGGGAGGCAGCAGUGGGGAAUAUUGGACAAUGGGCGCAAGCCUGAUCCAGCCAUGCCGCGUGGAUGAUGAAGGCCUUAGGGUUGUAAAGUCCUUUCGGCGGGGACGAUAAUGACGGUACCCGCAGAAGAAGCCCCGGCUAACUUCGUGCCAGCAGCCGCGGUAAUAC
Molecule: ribosomal RNA, 432 nt
Filed under: uncultured Alphaproteobacteria bacterium
Lineage: Bacteria; Pseudomonadati; Pseudomonadota; Alphaproteobacteria
Description: bacterial SSU rRNA
Rfam family: Bacterial small subunit ribosomal RNA
Source: RNAcentral